AGCGAACGCUGGCGGUAGGCCUAACACAUGCAAGUCGAACGGCAGCACAGUAAGUGCUUGCUCUUACGGGUGGCGAGUGGCGGACGGGUGAGGAAUACAUCGGAAUCUACUUUUUCGUGGGGGCUAACGUAGGGAAACUUCCGCUAGUACCGCAUACGACCUACGGAUGAAAGCAGGCGAUCUUCGGACCUUUCGCGAUUGAAUGAGCCGAGGUCGGAUUAGCUAGUUGGCGGGGUAAAGGCCCACCCAGGCCACGAUCCGUAGGUGGUCUGAGAGGAUGAUCAAGUACACUGGAUCUGAGAAACGCCCCAGACUCCUACGGGAGGCAGCAGUGGGGAAUCUUGCACAAUGGGGGCAAGCCGGAUCCAGCCAUACCGCGUGGAGGAAGAAGGCCUCCGGGUUGUAGAACCCUGUUGUUGGGAGAGAAAAGCAACUGUUUAAUCCCCCGCUGUACUGACGGUACCCGAAGAAGAAGCACCGGCUAACUUCGUG
Molecule: ribosomal RNA, 492 nt
Filed under: uncultured bacterium
Lineage: Bacteria
Description: partial 16S ribosomal RNA
Rfam family: Bacterial small subunit ribosomal RNA
Source: RNAcentral